This is a non-coding RNA of Schistosoma curassoni, 45 nucleotides long. Lineage: Eukaryota; Metazoa; Platyhelminthes; Trematoda; Strigeidida; Schistosomatidae. The record is from Rfam.
AUUCAGCUGAUGAGUCCCGAAUAGGACGAAAUGCGCGUCCUGGAU